RNAcentral lists this transfer RNA (73 nucleotides) under Gemmatimonadota bacterium. RNAcentral's name for it is "Gemmatimonadetes bacterium (activated sludge metagenome) tRNA-Ala". It matches the Rfam family "tRNA". From Rfam's summary of the family: Transfer RNA (tRNA) molecules are approximately 80 nucleotides in length. Their secondary structure includes four short double-helical elements and three loops (D, anti-codon, and T loops). The record is from RNAcentral. Lineage: Bacteria; Pseudomonadati; Gemmatimonadota.
GGGGCCAUAGCUCAGCUGGGAGAGCGCCGGCUUUGCAAGCCGGAGGUCGUGGGUUCGAUCCCCACUGGCUCCA